UGGAUGCUAAUAAUGCUUCGAGCAACGAAGAAUAGUUGAGGUUAGGAGCAAUAUGUUCUUGUGUUUCCAUAUUCAAUUUGCAAGAUGUGUUUUUAUCUCUAGUAUAAUUUGUUGUUCAAUCUUUCUGUUCUUCAAUUAUGUUUUGUGCAUUCUUUCUUUUAUGUUGGGUUGACACUUUCAUAUCAGAUAUGAAAUUUAGUGAUAAAAGUAGCACAAAAUGUCUCUUCUAUUUUCUUGUUCGUGCUUUGAAUUAUUUUGGCUGCAUGCUACAGGUUCAAACUGGAUGCUACAUGGAGGCAUGGAGGGGUGGUCGACUGUGUGCUUUGUGUUGGUACAAAAUAGCCUACUUUUUUUUGUUUGCUGGCUUUCUGCUGACUACUUGACCAACUUGCUUGGUCAUAUACUGCUGUGUGAGACCAUGUCUUGGUCAAAACUUAGUAUACUCUUAUAUUCAUGCUUGGUAAUUCGGUCAGCUGCGACACCACGUGCUUGUUUGGAAAACAUUUUAUACUUUGGUCAACAACAGUUCAGAAUUGAGAUAUAAGCAGCUUGUUUGGAACCUUAUUUUGUAUACUUUGGUUAACAAUUCAGAAUUGGC
RNAcentral lists this long non-coding RNA (598 nucleotides) under Triticum aestivum (bread wheat). RNAcentral describes it as "long non-coding RNA (TAES_LNC011967)". The record is from RNAcentral. Lineage: Eukaryota; Viridiplantae; Streptophyta; Magnoliopsida; Poales; Poaceae.